This 330-nucleotide ribosomal RNA is filed under the name uncultured marine eukaryote. RNAcentral's name for it is "SSU rRNA". It matches the Rfam family "Eukaryotic small subunit ribosomal RNA", at positions 1 to 335 of the family's 1831-position model. The record is from RNAcentral.
AACCUGGUUGAUCCUGCCAGUGGUCAUAUGCUUGUCUCAAAGACUAAGCCAUGCAUGUCUAAGUAUAAAUGCUAUACAAUGAAACUGCGAAUGGCUCAUUAAAACAGUUAUAGUUUAUUUGGUAAUCGAAUUUACAUGGAUAACCGUGGUAAUUCUAGAGCUAAUACAUGCUAUUAAGCCUGACUUCUUGAAAGGCCGUAUUUAUUAGAUAACAGACCAAUAUUCCUCGUGUCUAUUGUGGUGAAUCAUAGUAACUUUUCGGAUCGCAUGGGUUUUGCCCGCGACAAACCAUUCCAAGUUUCUGCCCCAUCAGCUUUCGAUGGUAGUGUA